RNAcentral lists this small RNA (1692 nucleotides) under Rattus norvegicus (Norway rat). RNAcentral's name for it is "uncharacterized LOC102550010". Lineage: Eukaryota; Metazoa; Chordata; Mammalia; Rodentia; Muridae. The record is from RNAcentral.
CUCUCCUCACUGGGGCAGUGUUAGAGAGCUUGCCCCAGUAACAGGAGCUGUGAAGAGCUGAAGGGCUGACCAACUCAGCUACAACCCAGGCCCAGAUCCAGGCCUUGUGUUGGCCACCCCAACACCUACCCCAUCUAUGAACUGCUUGAGCAUGUAAAGGGCUGGUCCUGCAGAUCCAAAGUUAUAGAAUUUCCAUGACACAGGGUAACAACAGGAUGUCUGAGAGGAGCGCUGGUAAGGACUCAGUAUUGAUAGUGCAGCAGAAGCCAAAGGCCUUGAACCAGACCAGUGAGUCACUCAUUGCAAGGAACAUUUGCAAGAGAAGCUGUUUGGACAAAAGGGUAGACCAUGGGACACACUGACACACGGCAGCGUCCACAGUAAGAAACAAGCAACGAGUUGGAACACAUUUCUCCCAGUACGAGGGGAAGAAUCUUAUAUUCCAGAAAGGCGACGCAGAGAGAGGUUUGAUGUGGUGACUUCAGCCCCGUAAGAGCCAAGCCAUCCAUGUUCUUGCUACCCCAACAGUGUUCGUGGACUACUGAGCUUCCUUAUUUGAAGCUUUUGGUUCCAUUGGCCCAGAGAUCUGUCAUUGACUGAACACCAGCCAUCGUGACAAUGUCAGUGAGUCUGGGGAAAGCCAGCUGCAGCGUAUCAGAGUGUUUCUUCUCCCAACAACUUGGACUAGAUUCUGGAUUGAUUGGCAAAGGGCCGACUGUUGGAGGCUCCCGGAGUGGCCCAGGGCUGCAUUUUCAAUGCAUGAUUCUGGCGACUUUAAUGGAAACCACAUGAAGAGUUCCCGGGAAGCAGACCAGAUGGCUCCCAGCGAAUGUAUUUAGCCCAACCUGGAGCUAACGGAAAAACAUAGCCGAUCCCAAGAGCUCCCUGACCCUGUGACAGGGCAGGUCUGUACCUGAAGUGUCCAGAGGCCUCGAAUCAGAACAGCCCGCCUUUCAGCAGAUUAUGAAGGAAGAGGCAUUUUUAUGCAGAGCAUUCCAUUUCAUGGUGGUUUCUGUCAUUACUGGGACAGAAGAGCACGCAGCAAGAAGCUGGUCACCAUGUGGCAGUCAGGAAGCAAAAUGAGAGAAAAUCUCAGCCCAAGGGCUUUCCCGUUUUACUCCUCCAAGCCCUCAGCUUGAAUGUGAUGCUGACUAAAUUCAGAGAAGGCACUUGUGCCUCAUCUAAGCUCUGGCUGGAGAAGUCUUCACAACUACACCAAGCAGCAUUCUCGCCUGGUCUCCUAGGCACCUGUGAAUCCAAUCAAAUUGACAGGCAAGACAGACGGUCACAGAUUCAUGACGAAGAGUACACCUCGUUGGCCGCAGGAAGCUUAUGUCUUAGAGAGACAAAGCUCUUGAAGCCUGUGUGGUGGGAGGCGUGGAGCUGUGUGCCACAGGAGUGAACGGAAAUAAAGAAGGAUUAGGAGCUGAAGAGCUGGCUUUGUUGAUGCAAGCAUGAAGACCAGAGUUUACGCCCCUAGCAGCCGCAUGAAAAGUUGCACGUGGCAGCAUAUAUCUCUAAUCCCAGCUCGGAAUCAGAGGAGGAAGGAUGCCUGAGGCGUGCUGGGCAGUAGCCCAGCCAAACUGACCAGCCCGGCUUCAGCCAGAGACUGAAAAAGGUGGAGCAUGAAUGAGGAAAAGCCUUGAUGUUAACCUCUGACCCCAGGUGGGUACAACCGUGUGUGGGCAUGCC